RNAcentral lists this ribosomal RNA (670 nucleotides) under Pseudomonas sp. MB3. Its description in RNAcentral is "bacterial SSU rRNA". It matches the Rfam family "Bacterial small subunit ribosomal RNA", at positions 49 to 714 of the family's 1533-position model. Lineage: Bacteria; Pseudomonadati; Pseudomonadota. The record is from RNAcentral.
UAACACAUGCAAGUCGAGCGGAUGAUGGGAGCUUGCUCCCGGAUUCAGCGGCGGACGGGUGAGUAAUGCCUAGGAAUCUGCCUGGUAGUGGGGGACAACGUUUCGAAAGGAACGCUAAUACCGCAUACGUCCUACGGGAGAAAGCAGGGGACCUUCGGGCCUUGCGCUAUCAGAUGAGCCUAGGUCGGAUUAGCUAGUUGGUGGGGUAAAGGCCUACCAAGGCGACGAUCCGUAACUGGUCUGAGAGGAUGAUCAGUCACACUGGAACUGAGACACGGUCCAGACUCCUACGGGAGGCAGCAGUGGGGAAUAUUGGACAAUGGGCGAAAGCCUGAUCCAGCCAUGCCGCGUGUGUGAAGAAGGUCUUCGGAUUGUAAAGCACUUUAAGUUGGGAGGAAGGGCAGUAAGUUAAUACCUUGCUGUUUUGACGUUACCAACAGAAUAAGCACCGGCUAACUUCGUGCCAGCAGCCGCGGUAAUACGAAGGGUGCAAGCGUUAAUCGGAAUUACUGGGCGUAAAGCGCGCGUAGGUGGUUUGGUAAGAUGGAUGUGAAAUCCCCGGGCUCAACCUGGGAACUGCAUCCAUAACUGCCUGACUAGAGUACGGUAGAGGGUGGUGGAAUUUCCUGUGUAGCGGUGAAAUGCGUAGAUAUAGGAAGGAACACCAGUG